UCCAGACUCCUACGGGAGGCAGCAGUGGGGAAUAUUGGGCAAUGGGCGCAAGCCUGACCCAGCAACGCCGCGUGAAGGAAGAAGGCUUUCGGGUUGUAAACUUCUUUUAUCAGGGACGAAACAAAUGACGGUACCUGAUGAAUAAGCCACGGCUAACUACGUGCCAGCAGCCGCGGUAAUACGUAGGUGGCAAGCGUUAUCCGGAUUUACUGGGUGUAAAGGGCGUGUAGGCGGGACUGCAAGUCAGAUGUGAAACCCAUGGGCUCAACCCAUGGCCUGCAUUUGAAACUGUAGUUCUUGAGUGAUGGAGAGGCAGGCGGAAUUCCGUGUGUAGCGGUGAAAUGCGUAGAUAUACGGAGGAACACCAGUGGCGAAGGCGGUCUGCUGGACAGCAACUGACGGUGAGGCGCGAAAGCGUGGGGAGCAAACAGGAUUAGAUACCCGUGUA
Molecule: ribosomal RNA, 448 nt
Filed under: uncultured bacterium
Lineage: Bacteria
Description: bacterial SSU rRNA
Rfam family: Bacterial small subunit ribosomal RNA
Source: RNAcentral